This 497-nucleotide ribosomal RNA is filed under the name uncultured bacterium. Its description in RNAcentral is "partial 16S ribosomal RNA". It matches the Rfam family "Bacterial small subunit ribosomal RNA", at positions 28 to 507 of the family's 1533-position model. The record is from RNAcentral.
GAUGAACGCUGGCGGCGUGCCUAAUACAUGCAAGUCGAGCGAACAGACGAGGAGCUUGCUCCUCUGACGUUAGCGGCGGACGGGUGAGUAACACGUGGAUAACCUACCUAUAAGACUGGGAUAACUUCGGGAAACCGGAGCUAAUACCGGAUAAUAUAUUGAACCGCAUGGUUCAAUAGUGAAAGACGGUUUUGCUGUCACUUAUAGAUGGAUCCGCGCCGCAUUAGCUAGUUGGUAAGGUAACGGCUUACCAAGGCAACGAUGCGUAGCCGACCUGAGAGGGUGAUCGGCCACAACGGAACUGGGACACGGUCCAGACUCCUAAGGGAGGCAGCAGUAGGGAAUCUUCCGCAAUGGGCGAAAGCCUGACGGAGCCACGCCGCGUGAGUGAUGAAGGUCUUCGGAUCGUAAAACUCUGUUAUUAGGGAAGAAAAAAUGUGUAAGUAACUAUGCACGUCUUGAAGGUACCUAAUCAGAAAGCCACGGCUAAAUACGUG